Habropoda laboriosa is the source of this 677-nucleotide long non-coding RNA. RefSeq lists it as uncharacterized. The transcript has 2 exons. NCBI's taxonomy places the organism in Eukaryota, Metazoa, Arthropoda, Insecta, Hymenoptera, Apidae. The record is from RefSeq and is a predicted model, not a curated record.
CUCUAAAUCUGAGGUAGUCGUCCCUCUGCUGACUUUUACAAGUCUUGUUAAUAAUUUCUUACUGUUGGUGUUUUCUUCAAAAUAUUCGUUGUGGAAAGACCAUGUUGGGACUGUUAGAAGGAGAAGGAGGAGGAUAUUUAAGUUUCAGGUCCCGAUUGAGGAAGUUGAGAACAUGGUGGGACCUACGAUAUUUAUGUACAGCUGACUAGUAGGAAUAUUUCGUUGUUGAGCGAAGAAAGUUCAGCACUUUUUGGUACCAGAUUGGUGUACCAUCAGACGAAGUAUCAUCCUGUCCUCUCGUGUAAGAAAAGCCUGGUUGCACCAACUGGCUCUUCAGGACCUCCUUCCAUUCCAUUGGGUUUGCAUCUAUUGUCCAUCACUCGAUUGGACCAGUUUAAAAUCUAUUAGUGUCUAACGAUUGAGGAAAAAACUCUCCCUCUAUUUCUAAAAAGAAGGUAAGGCCAUAUACCCAACAACGUGGUACGUUGUUCCAGGCACUCGAGAGGCAACUGAAAGACUUCCUAUAAACUAAAAGUAAGGAUUCGUAAUUGACACUGAUAAAAGAGGGAGAGAGAGAAGUUUUAUAAAACGUAAUUCAAUGUAACCUUGGAAAUUACAUAUAUGAAAAUGUAAGAAAGAAACUCGACUGUGAUAAUAAAAUUUGGUAUAAGAAAAAA